UACGUAGGGUGCGAGCGUUAAUCGGAAUUACUGGGCGUAGAGCGUGCGCAGGCGGUUCGUUGUGUCGGCGGUGAAAGCCCCGGGCUCAACCUGGGAAUGGCCGUUGAAACUGGCGAACUGGAGUGUGGCAGAGGGGGGUGGAAUUCCGCGUGUAGCAGUGAAAUGCGUAGAGAUGCGGAGGAACACCGAUGGCGAAGGCAAUCCCCUGGGCCUGCACUGACGCUCAUGCACGAAAGCGUGGGGAGCAAACAGG
Molecule: ribosomal RNA, 253 nt
Filed under: uncultured bacterium
Lineage: Bacteria
Description: partial 16S ribosomal RNA
Rfam family: Bacterial small subunit ribosomal RNA
Source: RNAcentral